CUUAACUCCUGCCAAAAUGGCAUAAUAUGUGUAUAGAAUCAUUAUUUAUUUAUGUAAAAUUGAUUAAACAAUACACAUGUAUUUAGUUUUAGACAUUAUUUAUUUGGUAUUGGCAACUAUUAUAGUGUACUAGAUUUAAAUUUUAAAAUACAUAUAAUAUUUAUUGCACAGCUAGGCAAGCUAGAAGAUAAUCAAAAGUGUAUAUGCAAUAUUUCAAGUGUUGCACAUUUUGCACAACAUGAUCUUGUCAUUUGAAAACCAUAAAGUUUGUAAUAAGUUUUGGCAUGCAAUAAAAGAAUUGAUUUUGUUGAAUAUUGCACCUCAUGGAAUAUUUACUGCACUCUCAGGGUCAUGCAAUUUUAUAGUGCUCUACAAAAUGCAUGUUAUAUCCUGAAGCUGGAGAUCAUGGUUACAUAACCAGGUUACCAAGCAAUAUUCUUUGAUAUUGCACUUGUGUGAUAAUGAUUGAAAAUAGUAUAUUGUAUGUAUUUUUGCAAAACUUUUUGCCCUUCAAUGAACGAUAUUUGCAUAAAUAUUUUGAAAAUUUUUGAAAAUUUCACUAGUAUGCUUGAGUUACAUAGCUGUGAAUAAGGCACAACAUUAUUCACCAAAUAUUUGUGGGAAAUUCCAUAUAUAUUAAAAUAUUAUCAGAAAUGACUAACACUAGUAUAUAAGGGUUCUAGAGGUGUAUUAAUAAAUGCUACUGGAGAAUGGAUCUGUUUGAUAAUUUGCAUAGAAAUACUUGACAUUUAAUCUGCUGUCCCAAAUACUAAGUGAACAUGUAAAUUUGUUAAAUAAUUUUAAAUAAUUUUAGAUUUGUAAAUAAACUUUGCCAUACA
This 839-nucleotide long non-coding RNA is filed under the name Mytilus galloprovincialis (Mediterranean mussel). The record is from RNAcentral. Lineage: Eukaryota; Metazoa; Mollusca; Bivalvia; Mytilida; Mytilidae.